CCUACGGGUGGCUGCAGUGGGGAAUAUUGGACAAUGGGGGCAACCCUGAUCCAGCCAUGCCGCGUGUAUGAAGAAGGCCCUCGGGUUGUAAAGCACUUUCAGUGAGGAAGAACGCCUGGUGGUUAAUACCCAUCAGGAAAGACAUCACUCACAGAAGAAGCACCGGCUAACUCCGUGCCAGCAGCCGCGGUAAUACGGAGGGUGCGAGCGUUAAUCGGAAUUACUGGGCGUAAAGCGCGCGUAGGUGGCUUGAUAAGCCGGUUGUGAAAGCCCCGGGCUCAACCUGGGAACGGCAUCCGGAACUGUCAAGCUAGAGUGCAGGAGAGGAAGGUAGAAUUCCCGGUGUAGCGGUGAAAUGCGUAGAGAUCGGGAGGAAUACCAGUGGCGAAGGCGGCCUUCUGGACUGACACUGACACUGAGGUGCGAAAGCGUGGGUAGCAAACAGGAUUAGAUACCCGAGUAGUC
This 465-nucleotide ribosomal RNA is filed under the name Vreelandella stevensii. RNAcentral describes it as "partial 16S ribosomal RNA". It matches the Rfam family "Bacterial small subunit ribosomal RNA", at positions 338 to 795 of the family's 1533-position model. Lineage: Bacteria; Pseudomonadati; Pseudomonadota; Gammaproteobacteria; Oceanospirillales; Halomonadaceae. The record is from RNAcentral.